CCUACGGGAGGCAGCAGUGGGGAAUAUUGCACAAUGGGGGAAACCCUGAUGCAGCGACGCCGCGUGAGUGAAGAAGUAUUUCGGUACGUAAAGCUCUAUCAGCAGGGAAGAAAAUGACGGUACCUGACUAAGAAGCCCCGGCUAACUACGUGCCAGCAGCCGCGGUAAUACGUAGGGUGCAAGCGUUACCCGGAUUUACUGGGCUUAAAGGGAGCGUAGACGGCAGCGCAAGUCGGAUGUGAAAUCCUAUGGCUUAACCAUGGAACUGCUUUGGAAACUGUACAGCUAGAGUGCGGGAGAGGUAGGCGGAAUUCCUAGUGUAGCGGUGAAAUGCGUAGAUAUCAGGAGGAACACCAGUGGCGAAGGCGGCUUACUGGACUAUAACUGACGUUGAGGCUCGAAAGCGUGGGGAGCAAACAGGAUUAGAUACCCUUGUAGUC
This 440-nucleotide ribosomal RNA is filed under the name uncultured bacterium. Its description in RNAcentral is "partial 16S ribosomal RNA". It matches the Rfam family "Bacterial small subunit ribosomal RNA", at positions 338 to 795 of the family's 1533-position model. The record is from RNAcentral.